AGAGUUUGAUCAUGGCUCAGAACGUACGCUGGCGGCACGCCUUAUACAUGCAAGUCGAACGAAGUAGCAAUACUUAGUGGCAGACGGGUGAGUAACAUGUAGGUAUCUUCCCUUUGGUGAGGAAUAACACGAGGAAACUUGUGCUAAUACCUCAUAAGUCUUUACGGAGAAAGCUUUAUGCGCCAUAGGAUGAGCCUGCAUUUGAUUAGUUUGUUGGUGGGGUAAUGGCCUACCAAGACUUUGAUCAAUAGCUGAUCUGAGAGGAUGAUCAGCCACAUUGGGACUGAGACACGGCCCAAACUCCUACGGGAGGCAGCAGUAGGGAAUAUUGCACAAUGGAGGAAACUCUGAUGCAGCGAUGCCGCGUGAGUGAAGAAGGCCUUUGGGUUGUAAAGCUCUUUCGUCGGGGAAGAAAAUGACUGUACCCGAAUAAGAAGGUCCGGCUAACUUCGUGCCAGCAGCCGCGGUAAUACGAAGGGACCUAGCGUAGUUCGGAAUUACUGGGCUUAAAGAGUUCGUAGGUGGUUAAAAAAGUUGGUGGUGAAAUCCCAGAGCUUAACUCUGGAACUGCCAUCAAAACUUUUUAGCUAGAGUAUGAUAGAGGAAAGCAGAAUUUCUAGUGUAGAGGUGAAAUUCGUAGAUAUUAGAAAGAAUACCGAUUGCGAAGGCAGCUUUCUGGAUCAUUACUGACACUGAGGAACGAAAGCAUGGGUAGCGAAGAGGAUUAGAUACCCUCGUAGUCCAUGCCGUAAACGAUGUGUGUUAGACGUUGGAAAUUUAUUUUCAGUGUCGCAGCGAAAGCAUUAAACACACCGCCUGGGGAGUACGACCGCAAGGUUAAAACUCAAAUGAAUUGACGGGGACCCGCACAAGUAGUGGAG
This 881-nucleotide ribosomal RNA is filed under the name marine metagenome. Its description in RNAcentral is "bacterial SSU rRNA". It matches the Rfam family "Bacterial small subunit ribosomal RNA", at positions 8 to 937 of the family's 1533-position model. The record is from RNAcentral.